AUUUAAUUGCUGGUUGAGUUCAUGACAACUGCCUUAAGGAAGAAACCACAUCCAUCUGGGAAGUGGGGUAUUAAUCAAUAACCCUGCAUGAAAUCCUCAAUUUCCUCAUUUGUGAGGGUCCCAUGGACAUGCUGUCUCUUGGUACUAGUGCUGCCUGAGAAGGUGCUUUGCUUCACCACUGCUUUUCUCUGGACUCCACCUUCCUGCCAAUGGGAACUGGAUCUCAGGGACCAGUUUGGGUGUCAGCACAGGGAGAAUAGCAAUGCUUGGGGUGAAGCAGAGGGACUGCAGAGAGA
RNAcentral lists this long non-coding RNA (296 nucleotides) under Zonotrichia albicollis (white-throated sparrow). RNAcentral describes it as "lncRNA (ENSZALG00000017607.1)". The record is from RNAcentral. Lineage: Eukaryota; Metazoa; Chordata; Aves; Passeriformes; Passerellidae.